UGAGACCGGCUUUUUGGGAUUCGCUCCACCUUACGGUAUCGCAGCCCUCUGUACCGGCCAUUGUAGCAUGCGUGAAGCCCAAGACAUAAGGGGCAUGAUGAUUUGACGUCAUCCCCACCUUCCUCCGAGUUGACCCCGGCAGUCUCCCAUGAGUCCCCGGCAUAACCCGCUGGCAACAUAGGACGAGGGUUGCGCUCGUUGCGGGACUUAACCCAACAUCUCACGACACGAGCUGACGACAACCAUGCACCACCUGUGUACGAGUGUCCAAAGAGAACCCCGUCUCGGGGGCUUUCUCGUACAUGUCAAGCCUUGGUAAGGUUCUUCGCGUUGCAUCGAAUUAAUCCGCAUGCUCCGCCGCUUGUGCGGGCCCCCGUCAAUUCCUUUGAGUUUUAGCCUUGCGGCCGUACUCCCCAGGCGGGGCACUUAAUGCGUUAGCUGCGGCACGGAACUCGUGGAAUGAGCCCCACACCUAGUGCCCAACGUUUACGGCAUGGACUACCAGGGUAUCUAAUCCUGUUCGCUCCCCAUGCUUUCGCUCCUCAGCGUCAGUUGCGGCCCAGAGACCUGCCUUCGCCAUCGGUGUUCCUCCUGAUAUCUGCGCAUUCCACCGCUACACCAGGAAUUCCAGUCUCCCCUACCGCACUCUAGUCUGCCCGUACCCGAUGCAAGCCCGAGGUUGAGCCUCGGGAUUUCACACCAGACGCGACAGACCGCCUACGAGCUCUUUACGCCCAAUAAUUCCGGACAACGCUUGCGCCCUACGUAUUACCGCGGCUGCUGGCACGUAGUUAGCCGGCGCUUCUUCUGCAGGUACCGUCACUUGCGCUUCUUCCCUGCUGAAAGAGGUUUACAACCCGAAGGCCGUCAUCCCUCACGCGGCGUCGCUGCAUCAGGCUUGCGCCCAUUGUGCAAUAUUCCCCACUGCUGCCUCCCGUAGGAGUCUGGGCCGUGUCUCAGUCCCAGUGUGGCCGGUCGCCCUCUCAGGCCGGCUACCCGUCGACGCCUUGGUAGGCCAUCACCCCACCAACAAGCUGAUAGGCCGCGAGCCCAUCCCCCACCGAAAAACUUUCCAACCCACACCAUGCGAUGCGAGCUCAUAUCCGGUAUUAGACCCCGUUUCCAAGGCUUAUCCCGAAGUGGAGGGCAGGUUGCUCACGUGUUACUCACCCGUUCGCCACUGAUCCACCCAGCAAGCUGGGC
This 1203-nucleotide ribosomal RNA is filed under the name uncultured bacterium. RNAcentral describes it as "partial 16S ribosomal RNA". The record is from RNAcentral.